UACGAAGGGGGCUAGCGUUGUUCGGAAUCACUGGGCGUAAAGCGUAUGUAGGCGGAUUGCUAAGUCAGGGGUGAAAUCCCGAAGCUCAACCUCGGAACUGCCUUUGGUACUGGCUGUCUUGAGUCCGGGAGAGGUGAGUGGAAUUCCUAGUGUAGAGGUGAAAUUCGUAGAUAUUAGGAAGAACACCAGUGGCGAAGGCGGCUCACUGGCCCGGUACUGACGCUGAAAUACGAAAGCGUGGGGAGCAAACAGG
RNAcentral lists this unclassified non-coding RNA (253 nucleotides) under Alphaproteobacteria bacterium. Its description in RNAcentral is "contains 16S-23S intergenic spacer region". It matches the Rfam family "Bacterial small subunit ribosomal RNA", at positions 524 to 776 of the family's 1533-position model. The record is from RNAcentral. Lineage: Bacteria; Pseudomonadati; Pseudomonadota; Alphaproteobacteria.